RNAcentral lists this unclassified non-coding RNA (280 nucleotides) under Chytridiomycota sp. RNAcentral's name for it is "partial contains small subunit ribosomal RNA, internal transcribed spacer 1, and 5.8S ribosomal RNA". The stretch from base 1 to 47 matches the Rfam family "Eukaryotic small subunit ribosomal RNA", at positions 1785 to 1831 of the family's 1831-position model. Lineage: Eukaryota; Fungi; Chytridiomycota. The record is from RNAcentral.
AAAGUCGUAACAAGGUAACCGUAGGUGAACCUGCGGUUGGAUCAUUAACAAAUAUCCAACGGGAGGGGCAACCCUCCCUACCCCACCUUUUGUGCAAUGUAAUGUCGUUGGCGGGAUCUUUUGUGAUUGCGGUAGAGCUUGCUCCGCCGACCGCCGACAUAAAACACACCCCACUAUUUCUACACUUAACAUCUGACGUUUAUUAGCCCGCUUGUGCGUUUGCAUGAUGCUGGGAAGAUGAAUUGAAAAACAACUUUUGACAACGGAUCUCUUGGCUCUC